Molecule: transfer RNA, 73 nt
Filed under: Camelus bactrianus (Bactrian camel)
Lineage: Eukaryota; Metazoa; Chordata; Mammalia; Artiodactyla; Camelidae
Also listed under: 2 other names
Rfam family: tRNA
About the family: Transfer RNA (tRNA) molecules are approximately 80 nucleotides in length.
Source: Rfam by way of RNAcentral
GAGGGUACAGCUCAAGUGGUAGAGCGAAUACUUAGCAUGCAUGAGGUCGUGGGUUCAAUCCCCAGUACCUCCA